This 253-nucleotide ribosomal RNA is filed under the name uncultured bacterium. Its description in RNAcentral is "partial 16S ribosomal RNA". It matches the Rfam family "Bacterial small subunit ribosomal RNA", at positions 524 to 776 of the family's 1533-position model. The record is from RNAcentral.
UACGGAGGGUGCAAGCGUUAUCCGGAUUCACUGGGUUUAAAGGGUGCGUAGGUGGGUCUGUAAGUCAGUGGUGAAAUCUCCGUGCUUAACAUGGAAACUGCCAUUGAUACUAUAGGUCUUGAAUUUUCUGGAGGUAAGCGGAAUAUGUCAUGUAGCGGUGAAAUGCUUAGAUAUCGUCAAGAACACCGAUAGUGAAGACAGCUUACUAGACUUCAACUGACGCUGAGGCACGAAAGUGUGGGGAUCAAACAGG